Molecule: long non-coding RNA, 355 nt
Organism: Erinaceus europaeus (western European hedgehog)
Lineage: Eukaryota; Metazoa; Chordata; Mammalia; Eulipotyphla; Erinaceidae
Exons: 3
Source: RefSeq, a predicted model, not a curated record
CUGCUGCUUCUUCUCCUGGUCAGAAGCUUCUUCUGUUCAGGUGUGCCAUGGCUACUUCUCCUGGGAACUGACCAUGUGUGACUCUGCUAGCUGAGCAUCUGCUGACCUCAACCAAAUCAAUGCAACCAGUGAUACCUCGGCCUGUUUCACUUCAAACUGUGUCCAGAGACAACAGGCAUGGGAUGUCAAGCUUCCAGCUUCAAUAUUCUGGAUCAGUGGAUGAUUUUAUGUCUUACAUGUGUGAAGUUUAAUCCCCAGCCCAGCAUGAGAGAACAACACAGACAAAACAAGUGGAACUUUGUAGAUUUUUGUUAAACAAUGCUCAUAAACAAUAAAAUAAAAAUAGAGCAGAUGA